AGACAGGUGCUGCAUGGCUGUCGUCAGCUCGUGUCGUGAGAUGUUGGGUUAAGUCCCGCAACGAGCCGCAACCCUUGCCUUUAGUUGCCAGCAGUUCGGGCUGGGCACUCUAAAGGGACUGCCGGUGUUAAACCGGAGGAAGGUGGGGAUGACGUCAAGUCCUCAUGGCCUUUAUGACCAGGGCUACACACGUACUACAAUGGCCGAUACAAAGGGCAGCGACACUGCGAGGUGAAGCCAAUCCCGUAAAAUCGGUCUCAAGUCCGGAUUGGAGUCUGCAACUCGACUCCAUGAAGUUGGAAUCGCUAGUAAUCGUGGAUCAGCAUGCCACGGUGAAUACGUUCCCGGGCCUU
This 353-nucleotide ribosomal RNA is filed under the name uncultured Desulfobulbus sp. Its description in RNAcentral is "bacterial SSU rRNA". It matches the Rfam family "Bacterial small subunit ribosomal RNA", at positions 1032 to 1382 of the family's 1533-position model. The record is from RNAcentral. Lineage: Bacteria; Pseudomonadati; Thermodesulfobacteriota; Desulfobulbia; Desulfobulbales; Desulfobulbaceae.